UGGGGAAUAUUGCACAAUGGGCGCAAGCCUGAUGCAGCCAUGCCGCGUGUGUGAAGAAGGCCUUCGGGUUGUAAAGCACUUUCAGCGGGGAGGAAGGCGGUGAGGUUAAUAACCUCAUCGAUUGACGUUACCCGCAGAAGAAGCACCGGCUAACUCCGUGCCAGCAGCCGCGAUAAUACGGAGGGUGCAAGCGUUAAUCGGAAUUACUGGGCGUAAAGCGCACGCAGGCGGUCUGUCAAGUCGGAUGUGAAAUCCCCGGGCUCAACCUGGGAACUGCAUUCGAAACUGGCAGGCUAGAGUCUUGUAGAGGGGGGUAGAAUUCCAGGUGUAGCGGUGAAAUGCGUAGAGAUCUGGAGGAAUACCGGUGGCGAAGGCGGCCCCCUGGACAAAGACUGACGCUCAGGUGCGAAAGCGUGGGGAGCAAACAGG
RNAcentral lists this ribosomal RNA (429 nucleotides) under Chloroflexota bacterium. RNAcentral's name for it is "Chloroflexi bacterium partial 16S ribosomal RNA". It matches the Rfam family "Bacterial small subunit ribosomal RNA", at positions 355 to 776 of the family's 1533-position model. The record is from RNAcentral. Lineage: Bacteria; Bacillati; Chloroflexota.